UCGAACGAACUCUGGUAUUGAUUGGUGCUUGCAUCAUGAUUUACAUUUGAGUGAGUGGCGAACUGGUGAGUAACACGUGGGAAACCUGCCCAGAAGCGGGGGAUAACACCUGGAAACAGAUGCUAAUACCGCAUAACAACUUGGACCGCAUGGUCCGAGCUUGAAAGAUGGCUUCGGCUAUCACUUUUGGAUGGUCCCGCGGCGUAUUAGCUAGAUGGUGGGGUAACGGCUCACCAUGGCAAUGAUACGUAGCCGACCUGAGAGGGUAAUCGGCCACAUUGGGACUGAGACACGGCCCAAACUCCUACGGGAGGCAGCAGUAGGGAAUCUUCCACAAUGGACGAAAGUCUGAUGGAGCAACGCCGCGUGAGUGAAGAAGGGUUUCGGCUCGUAAAACUCUGUUGUUAAAGAAGAACAUAUCUGAGAGUAACUGUUCAGGUAUUGACGGUAUUUAACCAGAAAGCCACGGCUAACUACGUGCCAGCAGCCGCGGUAAUACGUAGGUGGCAAGCGUUGUCCGGAUUUAUUGGGCGUAAAGCGAGCGCAGGCGGUUUUUUAAGUCUGAUGUGAAAGCCUUCGGCUCAACCGAAGAAGUGCAUCGGAAACUGGGAAACUUGAGUGCAGAAGAGGACAGUGGAACUCCAUGUGUAGCGGUGAAAUGCGUAGAUAUAUGGAAGAACACCAGUGGCGAAGGCGGCUGUCUGGUCUGUAACUGACGCUGAGGCUCGAAAGUAUGGGUAGCAAACAGGAUUAGAUACCCUGGUAGUCCAUACCGUAAACGAUGAAUGCUAAGUGUUGGAGGGUUUCCGCCCUUCAGUGCUGCAGCUAACGCAUUAAGCAUUCCGCCU
Molecule: ribosomal RNA, 848 nt
Filed under: Lactiplantibacillus plantarum
Lineage: Bacteria; Bacillati; Bacillota; Bacilli; Lactobacillales; Lactobacillaceae
Description: bacterial SSU rRNA
Rfam family: Bacterial small subunit ribosomal RNA
Source: RNAcentral